This 433-nucleotide ribosomal RNA is filed under the name uncultured bacterium. RNAcentral describes it as "partial 16S ribosomal RNA". It matches the Rfam family "Bacterial small subunit ribosomal RNA", at positions 29 to 507 of the family's 1533-position model. The record is from RNAcentral.
AACGAACGCUGGCGGCAUGCCUAACACAUGCAAGUCGAACGAGACCUUCGGGUCUAGUGGCGCACGGUUGCGUAACGCGUGGUGACCUGCCCUUAGGUUCGGUAUAACUCCCCGUAAGGUGUGCUAAUACCGGUUAAUGUCUUCUGACCAAAGAUUUAUCGCGUUUGGAUGGGCCCGCGUUGGAUUAGCUUGUUGGUAGGGUAAAAGCAUACCAAGGCGUGGAUCCAUAGCUGGUAUGAGAGGAUGAUCAGCCACACUGGGACUGAGAAACGGCCCAGAAUAGUACGGGAGGCAGCAGUGGGGAAUAUUGGAAAAUGGGCGAAAGCAUGAUCCAGCAAUGCCGGGUGAGUGAUGAAGGCCGUAGGGAUGAAAAGCACUAUUACACGGGAAGAUAAUGACAGUACCGGGAGAAUAAGCUCCGGCUAACUCCGUG